This 792-nucleotide ribosomal RNA is filed under the name uncultured bacterium. Its description in RNAcentral is "bacterial SSU rRNA". It matches the Rfam family "Bacterial small subunit ribosomal RNA", at positions 64 to 820 of the family's 1533-position model. The record is from RNAcentral.
CGACGAGUUCUCGUUGAUGAUCGGUGCUUGCACCGAGAUUCAACAUGGAACGAGUGGCGGACGGGUGAGUAACACGUGGGUAACCUGCCCUUAAGUGGGGGAUAACAUUUGGAAACAGAUGCUAAUACCGCAUAGAUCCAAGAACCGCAUGGUUCUUGGCUGAAAGAUGGCGUAAGCUAUCGCUUUUGGAUGGACCCGCGGCGUAUUAGCUAGUUGGUGAGGUAAUGGCUCACCAAGGCGAUGAUACGUAGCCGAACUGAGAGGUUGAUCGGCCACAUUGGGACUGAGACACGGCCCAAACUCCUACGGGAGGCAGCAGUAGGGAAUCUUCCACAAUGGACGCAAGUCUGAUGGAGCAACGCCGCGUGAGUGAAGAAGGCUUUCGGGUCGUAAAACUCUGUUGUUGGAGAAGAAUGGUCGGCAGAGUAACUGUUGUCGGCGUGACGGUAUCCAACCAGAAAGCCACGGCUAACUACGUGCCAGCAGCCGCGGUAAUACGUAGGUGGCAAGCGUUAUCCGGAUUUAUUGGGCGUAAAGCGAGCGCAGGCGGUUUUUUAAGUCUGAUGUGAAAGCCCUCGGCUUAACCGAGGAAGCGCAUCGGAAACUGGGAAACUUGAGUGCAGAAGAGGACAGUGGAACUCCAUGUGUAGCGGUGAAAUGCGUAGAUAUAUGGAAGAACACCAGUGGCGAAGGCGGCUGUCUGGUCUGUAACUGACGCUGAGGCUCGAAAGCAUGGGUAGCGAACAGGAUUAGAUACCCUGGUAGUCCAUGCCGUAAACGAUGAAUGCUAGG